Long non-coding RNA from Ipomoea nil (Japanese morning glory), 576 nucleotides. RefSeq lists it as uncharacterized. NCBI's taxonomy places the organism in Eukaryota, Viridiplantae, Streptophyta, Magnoliopsida, Solanales, Convolvulaceae. The record is from RefSeq and is a predicted model, not a curated record. The transcript is spliced from 3 exons.
GUACACUCAAAGAGUCUCCGCAAAACGAGGGUUCCUUCAUUUGACGCUUCCCCGCUCGCUCCUCUCUACACAGAGUCUUUCGUAGUCAGAAGAAGAAAGAAGGGCGCCAUUUCUGCAGAGAUCCAGCUUUCCUAUCAGACCUUCAGGUUAGCAAAAAUGUCAGUAAAACCAACAGUUGCUUUGAGAGCCAUACUUGUGGGAGGGAUAGCCGCGUUUGCAAAAAUUGGCGGUGCCAUGAAGGCCGCAGGAGGGGUGAAGCUAGGUGCAGCGGCGGCUGCAGUGACAGCUGCGGCAUCUGCAGCCGUUUCAGGAUCCAAGCAAGAACCACAGGAGGCUUCUAAACAGUUGCCAAAAUAACGUCUCAUUGUUUAUUCUGUUAAAUGUCUUGAAAUAAAAGUUUUAGGCUUAGUGGCAGUUGCUAGUUGAAUUGUUUGACAAGGCAACGCCAAGUAGGAAGAGAUGUUAUACCAUGCGAGGAUAAAAUUGGUUAUUUGUCAUAAAGCUUGGGCAUGUAAGACUUUGUAAUACACCAAAUCCUUGAGAAAAUUUCCCCACUUUUUAUUCUUUACAUGCACA